GCCUAGCCCAGAUAGAAGUGGAAAUCCUUUUUAGCAAAAGGUACUUUUGCUAAAAAGAUUGGAACGGAUAGCUGGUUAAAGC
This 82-nucleotide small RNA is filed under the name Flavobacterium endophyticum. Its description in RNAcentral is "Flavo-1 RNA". It matches the Rfam family "Flavo-1 RNA". Lineage: Bacteria; Pseudomonadati; Bacteroidota; Flavobacteriia; Flavobacteriales; Flavobacteriaceae. The record is from RNAcentral.